UGCCAGACUCCUACGGGAGGCAGCAGUCGGGAAUAUUGCGCAAUGGAGGAAACUCUGACGCAGUGACGCCGCGUAUAGGAAGAAGGUUUUCGGAUUGUAAACUAUUGUCGUGAGGGAAGAAAUUGACAGUACCUCAGGAGGAAGCUCCGGCUAACUAUGUGCCAGCAGCCGCGGUAAUACAUAGGGAGCAAGCGUUAUCCGGAUUUAUUGGGUUUAAAGGGUGCGUAGGCGGAAUAUCAAGUCAGCGGUAAAAAUUCGGGGCUCAACCCCGGCGUGCCGUUGAAACUGAUGUUCUUGAGUGGGCGAGAAGUAUGCGGAAUGCGUGGUGUAGCGGUGAAAUGCAUAGAUAUCACGCAGAACCCCGAUUGCGAAGGCAGCGUACCGGCGCCCAACUGACGCUGAAGCACGAAAGCGUGGGUAUCGAACAGGAUUAGAUACCCUUGUACC
Molecule: ribosomal RNA, 447 nt
Filed under: uncultured bacterium
Lineage: Bacteria
Description: bacterial SSU rRNA
Rfam family: Bacterial small subunit ribosomal RNA
Source: RNAcentral